Lates calcarifer (barramundi perch) is the source of this 8949-nucleotide long non-coding RNA. RefSeq lists it as uncharacterized. The transcript is spliced from 14 exons. The record is from RefSeq and is a predicted model, not a curated record. NCBI's taxonomy places the organism in Eukaryota, Metazoa, Chordata, Actinopteri, Centropomidae.
CCUGCAACCAGUUAAGUUUACUGAUUCAUUGCUCGCUGUAUUCUGUUGCACCGCUGACAUUUAACAUGUAUUUAAUCACCGAGUGACAUCAGUCCUUCAUUUCCAGUAUAUCCUAGCAACAGACAACAGAAAGAAGAAAAAAACGACAAAUACAAGGAGAAGUAGAAAGAAGAAUAUGAGCUCUCCAGUGCCGAUGUCAGUGUGGCUUCCCUGUGCAGGACAUCAGAGAGAAAAGAAGCUGCUGCUGGUAGUGGUGAAGCUGCUGGAGCUGUUGGAGUUGGCUCUGCUGCUGCAGGGUGAGUUGAGCCUGGUGCUGCUGAAGGUUGGUGUGUCCCGCCCCUCCCAGCGGCCCCGCUGAUGGUUUGCCCCAGCUCUGCCACUCAAUCAUGUGAGCGACGCGACCCUGGGCCAUGGCGGUGGGCUUGGUCACUUUGUCCUUCAUGGAGCGAGUCACCCCUACAACAGGUCUAUAAAUUACGCAGAGGAGUCAUGUUUGAGGAAGUAAACAACUCGAGGGCCGCCAUGGGAUCAGUGCUCAACAAGAACAGCACUCGAUCACAAUGAAUUCUGCUACUGAUGCCAUGGCCACCGCGGGUCAACACUGAACCAAAGCUUCAAAGUUUCUGUUUAAGGGUCCACAGCUGAGAAGUGAUACAUGGCUCAGUAAUAGUCUGAGCCCUGGGGGGAGCAGCUCUGUGGCCUUGUUUACAAGUAAGCGACCUUUCAUGAGGCCGAGGCCCGGCCGUCUAACAGCAGGAGGCAGCUCUGGGUCCACGAUGAUCCAACCUUUAUGUCAAGGAUCAUCACUGGUGACUGGAGUUGGGUCUCCAGCAAUGACCCAGAGACAAAACAGUCUUUAGAGUGGAAGACCCUGCAGUCUCCAAGACUGAAGAAGGCACGACAGAGAGCAUGUCCCCCAGGGUCAGACUGUCAACGCCAAGUUCUACUGCACCAAUCUGAGGGAGGACCUUCGGCGCAAAUGACCUUAUGAUGGGUGCUCUAUCAUCAUGCCAUCGACAAUCGUUGCUCCCCACCCGUUCUCCUCGCCGGAUUUAGCAAGUAGGGCCAAAUCUGGCAAGAGUCACAGCUGAUGCUUGAUGUACUUACAGAAUAGGAUUUCCGGGGAGCAUUCCAAGCGUGGCAAGAGGGCUGGGAGGGGUGUAUCGCUGCAUAAGGUGACUACUCUGAAGGAAAUGGCAGCCAAAAUUAAAUCAGGUAUGUUUUUUCCUUGUGGCCUAUGUGCAACAGAGAGGGAAGUUAAGGUAAUCAGACUAACACACUAUUGGUUUUAGUCUUUUCACGGGAUUUGUUAAUUUAUCCUUUAAUAUCAAAAGCAAAUGAAUAUCUUGGGUCAAUUACAUAAGUUAUGAUACGUAGAAAAAUAUUUCUGUAAACAGAGAAGGGCCUGUAUGGAUAGAUACAUCUAGAAUUAAGGAAUCUGAGAAAAACUUUGGUUCUACAUCUCUGUGUAAUGGAGUUAUGAGCAGAACCUGUCAGAGGUAAUCAGUGAAAAACAGACCAGACAGCAUGACCGAACGAGACGCUCUGUGCUAUCAGAGUAUGUAGAGAGCCAAUAGAUAAGCUGAAGUGUUCGUCUUGAUAAACGUUUUUAUAAAAGGACAGUGUGUGCUGGGACAGUCUCCAGCCCCCCUGUGACCUUGGAGAGGGUAAGUGGGUUAAGACAAUUAAUUAAUUAAGAAAUGUACGUAUGAGGAUAGUCUUAGCUGCUGAAGCCUUCGACAGAGUCAAAACUGAGCCCCCUCCGUAAAUUUAUACCAAUCUGAGCCAGACUCACAAAUUUCUGCUUUAACAAACAACAGUGUUGAAUCCAAAGCAAAUUAUAUAUUUAAUUAUGACUUUGUGUUAUUUAAAUUAAGUCAAAACACAGACCAGUAGAAACUGUAAACAUGAGCUGUGUGCAGCUCAUCACUGUACAGGAAUUUGAAAUUCAAACUUUUCCCUCUGAGUGCCAUUUAGAAAUUGUGAAAUUGCCCAGUGCCGCUUUUAGUUACUUUCCAAGCUGCUUGUCACAUCUAAAAUUCAUCUAGCACGGCAGCUUCAGGCAUCCAUGUUCAGAACCUGGAGCAGGAAUGUGUCCGCAGAACCAUUGAGAUGCAAAUUUAGAGGGGAAAACGGGAAACGAGAGACUCAGAAAAGACAAGCCUGAAGGAGGCAUCACCUUCUUUUUCCAUUACUGGCCUGAAUCGAUUUAGCUAAAAAUAAAACCAGCAAGACUCCGCUCUGAUCCCAUUGCAUUCACAGAUGACCGCACGGGCCAAGUGUCACAUCAGAUGCGACUUGCAUUAUCCAACCUGUGUUUAUUUAUGUGGAAAUCGAGCUGUUGUCUGCCAAACUGUGAGUCUGUUCUUUACUCUUAGUCGCAGCGUCUCACUCUGUCGCUGUUUGCUGCCAACUGAAACACAGAAGCCAAAACAGGACUACACUUGCAGACUGAUGGAUCACAUUUCAUCUCAGAUGGCAAAAACAUUGGCAAACAAAUCUCUGCUUUAUGUAUAGAGUUCAUUAUUAUUAUCCUUGUGAUAUUCAUGACAGUAAAUCUGCUCGACUGUCAUGAGGUAACUUUUGGAUGCAUGAAAUAGUAGUGGGCAUAUUUACAUUUUGUCUAAUGCACCAUUCUCCAUUAUAAGCAUGAAAAAUGCGGGUGAACAGCCAACCUCAGUAACACUGCAAUAUUACCGCUCAUUGAGCCAUCCAAUGCUGUAUAAUGACCAUGCUGAAGCAGGAAAUCUGUUAAUUAAGGGCUUCAGGGUUGAAACGUGAACAAAAUAUUCAUGAUUUCCACUGAGAGGUGACUGAAUUCCCUGAUUCUUUUUUAUAUUCCCAGCUCUUUUUUAAGCCCCCCUGUAGUGAGGUAGUAAAGCUAAUGGUAACAUUUAGCACUUGUAUUUGUCCCUGUUAGACUGAAAGGUGACAAACAUCUGGCUGACUGACCACUAGAUGAAGCAAUUUCAUACAUUUCUGUCAUAAACUUCUUAUUAAGUUGUGACCAACUCUGUCUGUUCAGAGUGAAUCAAAAUAUUGUGAAAAUAUUGAUUAGAGCAGCUUUAAGUUUAAACUUAGUCUUAGUCAUGUUAAUCAAUUAUGCUCAUGACUUUAAUGGAGUUGAAAUAGUAAGAUUUUAUUAGCAUAGCAUAUUGAUAACCUGGAUUUUUAGUGUGCAUGUUUUGGCAGCAGCAAGAGCACUCUCCUGUAAAGAGUUUGCCAAAGAUUCACAACAGUCCGACUGUGAAACAGUAACACCUGCUAUUAGACCCUCAGUGAAAACAAUCCGUCCCACUGUGCUUCACUGUGCGACCUUGUGCUUUUUCACUGUAUGUUUUGUAGUCAGAAGCACUUUUUAAAAACACAAAAGAUGUUUUGAUGUUGAAUGCGACCCUGUCUUCAUCUGAUGGUGACCACCACCUGAUAUCCUGUGUCCAACUGCAGCUGCACUUAAAGCGUAAACACGAGAGCGGGCGUAGUGAAGAAGACAUGCAGCCUCAAACAACGUCCAUGCUGCUGUGCCUGUUGUCAGCCACUCGGGCUGGAUUUGGAAGGAGAUCUGCUGGAAGCUGUUCUUCCAGACAAAACAGAGCUCAGGCUUCCAGAGUUUAUAAUGACGGCAGAUGGUGGACGGAGUGAAACAGCGACAACACCUCCAACAUGUUUAUUCUCUUCUCGUAGACGGGAGGAGAAGCCAGUCAGGCUGCUUUUUGCCUUAUUUUCAAUUCAAAUGACAUUAAGGCAUUAUCUGUAAUUUGACAGCACUCUGAAGCACCUCUCUUUAUGCAGACAUUAGCUACACACUAAAAUGCGCUGCAAACCUCAAGUCAAAGCAUCAGCUGUCACAGACUGCAAAAAAAGCUAGUAAGUGGACCUUGAGUUAAGAUUUUUUUUGUCAAACUUCUGCUUCCAAGGUUGGAUCUGAACUCUGAUUCUGUGAAAAGUGGUUUGUUUUUUGAAAUUCAAGCUUAUUCUGUUGAGAUUCCAGAAAUAUCUGGUUAUCAGUGCACAGGAAAUGUGCCAAAGGCUGGGUGACUGCUCCGAACGGAGACGAAACGUGUUAAUGUUAAAUGAUGUUUUAACUGCCUUGUUGCACAGACUGUGCUGUCAUAAAUCUACUGGGCCCCAUGACAAUCGACACCGUUCUCUAACCCUGCACCUUCAGUAAUGUACCUCGCCUCAGAGUCCUGCCCUCACCCAAACAAAAAGAGCAGAAACUCGGCGGGUUGACCUGAUUCUGUACGCUCAGGCAAAACUACAAUGGCUGGCACACUGGCUUGAUAGGCAGUUUCAUCUGAAUGGUCCAGCCAUCAUCCCUGCUUAUCUAGCUCCACUUGUGUUACACAUUGCUUCUGGUUAUAUAAAGAAAAUGACCCUGUGCACUUUUAAGCCACCCUUGAAUCCUCCACACGCCCAAGCAAAGAGCAGAUACUCAGCAGUCUGACCCAGCCUUAUAUCUACAUUGUAUGUGUUUAGGCAAAACUACACUGGCUGGCCCAACUGGCUUGAUAGGCAGCAAAUGUUGUAACUAAAGUGAGUACAGGUGAUUGACAGCGUGCAGGAUCUUGUGGUUCUUUCACAGAGUCAGUCAGUUUUGAUCCAGAACAGCUGUCUCUGAGACUGUCUGGAAUGCAGGACCUUUGAAGUAACUGUGUUAAGUCUGUAAGUUCCCUGAUAUGUCGAAUCCUGAGAGGUUAGCCAUUGAAAAGAUAUAUUUAGGUUCACAGUCUAGACUCAGCUGCAUUGCAGUACAGAUUUUGUUUUACAGGUAAAGCAGUCUGAGAUCUGCUGGGAAGAUCUUUCUCACACAGUGGAUGUGAACAGCCUGCAACGACGAUUUACAGUCUUUCAGCACAUAUCAACAAUCGAAGAGAGGAGUCACUGCGCCUUCGCAGCCCAGAGUGGAAGGUGUGGAGAUGGAGAGGCAGCUGUCCUCCAGAAAGCCUUUCUGUGUGACUGUCCUGCUGCCUAAGUGAUGACUGCUACACAUCAGCUCUACUGUAACAGGAGGAUAAUUGGCAGGCAGUGAUGCUUUGGUUAAAUGGCACUCCACAGGAAACACACAGCUGAGGGAAACAAUACAACACUGAAAGACUGAGCCAUGAUGAAUCAUUGAGCUCACAGGCAAAUAAACGUUCAGCAGGAGCAGCUGAGAGCUGCUCGGUGGAGCCUCGGCCUUGCGAUGCCUCAGCUUUCCCUGCCGGCUCUCUCUGACGGCUGAGAUGUUGACAGCAGGGCACAGUAAUGAAUACCAACAUCUCUGCCGCUGCAUGGAGUCUGUGUAAAUACUUUAUCAACAGGAAGGAGAAACACGUCACAGCACCGGUGAUGCCUGGGAAACACCAGCUAAAACAACGCUUAGCAACAAAGAAGAAGCUGAAGUCAACAAGAGGCAUUGGCCAAAGGAGCGAGCUGAGCGACAGCAGCAGACCUCAGACCAGCCCUGAGUCUCAGUCGCUGCAGAGAACGGCCGAUAAGCAGCGGAGGUGACGAGCUCGGCGACGCCUCGGCAUAAAAAUCUGACAGAGCCAGAGACGGUACGAAGCCCAGGUGACACACAGAGAGUGGCAGUGAAGUUAGCUGUGUGUGUGUGUGUGUGUGUUUUAACAGGUUUAUAAUGUGUUUCAUGGAGAUGCUUUGACUCCCUCCGUGUUGUGUGGAAGUCCAUCUGUCAUCCCGUCUGUCUGCAACUGUCAGUCUGUCUGGAGGUCACAUCUCCUCAGUCAGGUUGGAUCUCCCUCUGACUGAGUGAGAGUCAGCAGGUUAAACUGCUGGAAUCAGGCCAGAGAGUUCAGACUGAUGCUGAACUGUAGACCAGUUAAAAAGAACCAGCGUUCAUCUCUGACAUCCAGCCAGGAAACUGACGCAAAUAUCAGAAAUUAGAAACAGAGGCUGGUGUGUUUGUUACAGCACUUCCUGCUCCACAAGCCGGGGAUCAUGGGUAAUAAAACUACUUUGAUCAUUUUUUCCUUAAGACUUUUUCCCCACAAAGUGCCUGCCUCACUGUCGUCAGCAUCAGAUGGUAAGAAGCUUUUCUGUCUCAUGUAACCUAACAACCUUAAAAAGUGUCAGCCACUUACUGUAGGUAUAGAAGGACAGAAUUCAUGAAUAAAAUGAUGGAUGAGUCGGUGGAAAGACAAAUUAAUCAAUGAAAGAAGAAAUGAAGGUGAGUGAGUUGAUGCAUGGACACUGCAAAACAGCUCUAACAAAAACCAUCAUUUAAAUGUCAUUCUGUGGUUUUUAAAUGCCACAAUGAUUCAAAUUCAGUGUGAACUAAUAAACAACCAGGUGAAUGAAUUAUGAAUGAAGAAUCCCACACAGUCCACCUCAGCCUACCUCAGCAGCAUCCAUCCCAUCUCAUUUACCUCUCCUCACCUGGUUUCCUGCCAGUUAUCCCUGCAUCCUCUCUGCAGAGCUGAUUAGAGGCCCCUUCCUGUAACAGAGGACAAGACAAGGACGGCACGCUCUCCGUCUGCCAGGAAAGCUCUUAGAUUCAGUCGGGCUGGCCGAGGCAGAGGCUGCAGCUCGAUGAAGACGGAUGGUCUAAUCCUGCGGGGGAAAGCCUCUCACCUGUGUGGAUUUCCUGUUGCUGAGGUCCUGCUGAUUUUUGGAUGUGUUUGCCAACAAGCUGUCGGCUCACAGGAGGGAGCACAACCAAAGACCUUCAGUGUCACAGAGUCAUCUGAGGCUGAGAGAAGGAUGAAGAGAUGCAGAGACAGAAGAUGAUGAUACAGACAGCAGAUAAUUAUACAGAUUAAAUUUGCAUUUAUGACUAAACUGAAGCUCCUGCUGUGGACUGCUGCAAAUAGAUUCUCUCCAAAAGCUCCCUGGCUGCUGCUGAACCACAGUAAAAGAAAUUCCCUGCAGGUGACUCUGUGUGAGAGAAAUGAAUAUAUUUCGAGUAGAAGAAAGAAUACACAUCAUAUUCAUUACUGAUUGGUGAAAUAAUAAUAAAUUCAGAGUGAACUGCAGGGACUCACAUUUAUUUGUAUUACACCUCAGCCCCAGAAAAGCCAGUUUUAUUAUCUAGUGACCUUUAAUGAAGUCAUUUCAUAUGAGCAGGCUGCUGUCAGUGAAGUGGUCUCUGCUCCAAUAAUGGCCACAUAAUAAUGGUUUCCUUGAUACAGGACGAGUCGGGGAAUCUGUUCAUUUCUCUGUGAAAGAUUUUUGAGAAUUUUACAAUUUUACAAUGUCCAGCUGGACUGCAGCAGAAAUCCAACUGAAAAGGAACAGUAACAAAAGAAUGAGAGAGAGAAAAAUAAAUCGCAGCCUCAGGUCGUGAAAAAGCUCUGACUUCUUUGUUGAGAAAAGUCCCAAAAUAGUUGUUGAAUUUUUAAACCAGAAUCUGACACGUUUGUACAGUCUGAGAGACAGAAAGACAAAUAUCAGACAGGAGAGAGCGAGACCUGAAUUAUUAACCAGCUGUCUAACCACAGGGGUUGUCAUAGCAACCAGGUUCCCCCCCUUUUUUUGAUAAAGCAUGGUUGUGGUGCAUCAUGGGAAUUAUCAGUGCAGCUGGAAUGUACCACCGACCAAUGACAAUGCACGUCUGAAUCUAGGCCUUUUAUAAACUGCAGACCUUCUCGCUCCUGAUGGCGUCUCUGACCCCGUGUUGUCCCACCAAAUGUCACACCCUUUGACAUAUUGAGACUAUAUGAAGAGAGCUCGGGCUCGGUGCAGGAGAAGGUUGGACGUCAUAUUUAUAGGCUGACCUUUACUUCACCCCACACUGACUGACUUAAAGGACUGUAUGUACAUUGGCCUGAAGGGUAAGAAGGUUCUGGUGAAAAUGGCACAGGUUUGAAUCCCAUGGAUGACUCGUAUUGCUUUCUGACAGAGGGGUGGCCUUCAGACGUAACACUUAGAUUUAAUGGACUGAUGGUGUUCUGGAUUUUUCUUCUUGUCAACAAACACAUGGAAAUUACAAAACCAAUAAACCCUGAUAUACCUUAAAUAUUUCACCAGAUAUUCCAUCAUGACGACUUGUUGUUUUAAAACUCUUCAGUUUCUUUUGGGAAGUUCACCUGCGUCCUGUUGCCUAAUAAAUCGCCCCUGCUGCCUUAUCAAUAACAGCCGGGGCAGAUGUUGCUCCAUUGUGUUUGACCAGCGUGUCGACAGAAUAUAAUUCAUGUGGAGAUUUGGACUGAUUAUCAUCCAGGAAUAAACUAAGACAGUCUCUGUGCUGGGUUACACUGGAGCUUUCACAUGGACAGUUUCUCAGUCAGCAGAAGCAUUUCAACAUUUGUCUUUGUCACCAUUUGAUCGAGGGAUCAGCUGAAAUAAAAUUAACUUUCUGGUUGUUUUUUAGCAAAUUUUGCAGCUGAUUAUUUUUGCAUGGAUGUGGUAGUUUUACAAGAGAAAACCAGGGCAAAUGUAGUUGAGAAGAGCAUGUUUUUUAGACGUCUGUUUUAACUAAGUGUCCUGCAGGAGGAUGAAGACUAAAAUGACUGUGGCAGUUUAAAGCCUGAGUGAAGCUUCCAUGACGUUUCCUCUCCACCUCCUCUCCGUUUGUGCUGUGGUUCACGUAGCAGGGGCCUUCACUCCAUCACAUGACAGUGUCAUACACUGAACAUGAGACUGGACAGGAGGGCACGGGACAGGGGGAGGGAGAGGUAAAGAUCAGCUACACUGAAAGCAUCUAAUUCACAAUCACUUCAACUCCACCACUUUAAACUGUGUGUGUGAAGUAAUUAACGUGCAGCAGUAUUUGUGUUGUCGAUUAGGUUUGUUUCUCGAUCAAUGGCACUAAAUCAGAUCUGACGCUCGCUGUAGGUAAAUGGACCAUUGAGAAAAGGCAGUUAUUUCAUGUUUAAUCUGAAAAUCAGCUCCACAGCAGGGGUCGAUCAGGGGCCAGUUAUUUUUCUUUUAUUGUGUAUUUAUUUUGAAUGCGUCCAGUGUUCUCCCUGGAGUGUUUUAUUUCUUUUAAGAAUAAAACAGAUUCAUGAA